This 547-nucleotide ribosomal RNA is filed under the name uncultured ciliate. RNAcentral describes it as "SSU rRNA". It matches the Rfam family "Eukaryotic small subunit ribosomal RNA", at positions 405 to 969 of the family's 1831-position model. The record is from RNAcentral. Lineage: Eukaryota; Ciliophora.
GGCUACCACAUCUAAGGAAGGCAGCAGGCGCGUAAAUUACCCAAUCCCGAUUCGGGGAGGUAGUGACAAGAAAUAGCAAACUGGAUGAAUUUUCAUCACAGUAUUGCAAUGAGAACAAUGUAAAUGCUUUAUCGAUUAACAAUUGGAGGGCAAGUCUGGUGCCAGCAGCCGCGGUAAUUCCAGCUCCAAUAGCGUAUAUUAAAGUUGUUGCAGUUAAAAAGCUCGUAGUUGAACUUCUGUACAUUCCCAGUUCUGGCUUCGGUCAAGCUGUGGAGUGUGCAUCCGCUUGCAAACUUAGACCGGCCUUCACUGGUCGACUAAGGGAGUAAGCCCUUUACUUUGAAAAAAUUAGAGUGUUUCAGGCAGGCAAUGGCUCGAAUACAUUAGCAUGGAAUAAUGGAAUAGGACUUUUGUCCAUUUGGUUGGUUAUUGGACAUAAGUAAUGAUUAAAAGGGACAGUUGGGGGCAUUAGUACUUAAUUGUCAGAGGUGAAAUUCUUGGAUUUAUUAAAGACUAACUUAUGCGAAAGCAUUUGCCAAGGAUGUUU